This 450-nucleotide ribosomal RNA is filed under the name uncultured bacterium. RNAcentral's name for it is "bacterial SSU rRNA". It matches the Rfam family "Bacterial small subunit ribosomal RNA", at positions 29 to 524 of the family's 1533-position model. The record is from RNAcentral.
AACGAACGCUGGCGGCAUGCCUAACACAUGCAAGUCGAACGAGACCUUCGGGUCUAGUGGCGCACGGGUGCGUAACGCGUGGGAAUCUGCCCUUUGCUUCGGAAUAACAGUUAGAAAUGACUGCUAAUACCGGAUGAUGUCUUCGGACCAAAGGUUUAUCGGCAAAGGAUGAGCCCGCGUAGGAUUAGGUAGUUGGUGGGGUAAAGGCCUACCAAGCCGACGAUCCUUAGCUGGUCUGAGAGGAUGAUCAGCCACACUGGGACUGAGACACGGCCCAGACUCCUACGGGAGGCAGCAGUGGGGAAUAUUGGACAAUGGGCGAAAGCCUGAUCCAGCAAUGCCGCGUGAGUGAUGAAGGCCUUCGGGUCGUAAAGCUCUUUUACCAGGGAUGAUAAUGACAGUAUCGGGAGAAUAAGCUCCGGCUAACUCCGUGCCAGCAGCCGCGGUAAU